Molecule: long non-coding RNA, 2348 nt
Organism: Bombus impatiens (common eastern bumble bee)
Lineage: Eukaryota; Metazoa; Arthropoda; Insecta; Hymenoptera; Apidae
Exons: 5
Source: RefSeq, a predicted model, not a curated record
AAAAUAAUAAAUUCUAAGUCCUUGAGCAUAUCGCACUAAAAAACGUUACUAAAAGUAUCUUUAAACAUGCUCAUUGAUUUUUAAUAAAAUAUUACAUUCGUCAAAUGCUGGUGGGAAGUUGAUUGGAAUUUUUAAGAAAUUUCGUCGACACGAAAAAUCACAUUGCAAAAUUUUUCGCCAAGAAACCUGGAACGUUCUUGAAACAAAGUAUCAGUUAUGUAAUUCAGUAAAUGUAUAUCGAAUCGAAGUGUAAAUCAGAACGAACAUUCCGAGCGACAUUUUCAAUUUUUUCGAUGACUCAAAAAAUACAAUUUGGAGUGUUGGUUUUUUCGCCUUCAAAGUGUUCAGAAUCUUGUAUAAUAGUUUUCGGCGUGCUCGUAUGUACAACGUCUGGGCUUCUUAAUGACAGGGAUAGCGAACGUAAGAGAAAUAAAUGAAACAAAGGGAAUCUUGCGUAGCUGGUCGAAAUGCAAAUUCCCAUAAAUGCGUAUUCCCUGCGAUCGCAAGUAUAAAAAUAAUAAUUUGCAAUGUUGAAAAAUAUUGCAUCAUUCGUUUUAUGUAUUACGUUGAGUUAGGAGUAGAUCUAGAGCAGUUUCAGUUUGUUGUUUGCAGAGUGAACGUUAUAAUUGUUGACUUUGUGCCAGCGGCGAAAUAAGAGUAAAACUUAAGAGUCCGGAAACCGACUUAUUCUUAAAGGAUAAGUAGGUUUGAAAAGCAUCAGGAUCAGGAUGUAAAAACGAAUGUUUAAACCGCUAUGGUUCUUAAGUUUGGGUGUUGUGAAAUUUCUUGAGAAGAGGUGAUGAAAGUGCGUUGAAAGUGCGUUCUAUGUCUGUGCUUGGAGACAGAAGAUUGAAAAUGAUAGCAGACGCGGCGAACACGAUGCGGAUGUUGGAGAGAAAAAAAGUGCGAAGAUGUGAUUCGCGAACUUAUUGGCUGAUCAAAGUGAACGGCUGGUAGUUGAGGCAAGCGCGUCGUGCCUUCAGACGAAGGUACAUUCCACUCUUGAAGCUAUCCACUGAUACUGCAUUGCUGAUCAGAGUGUCGCAGGUGUCGAAGUACGUGUUCAGUUUGUCGAUAUUCACGGAUUCGAAUUUCACACCUGGCACUUGCAGUUCGCUCUGAGAGUACUGAGGCUGGAAUUUCUUGUAUCUGCGCGAACAUAACGCGUAACAAUUAUUUGUUGCAGGAUAGCAAAAUUUAGCUCUUCGUCGAGACUUCUGCUUGUAACGAUACGAGUACGUUAAUAACGAUCUGAUGUCGUUCACAUAUCUUUCUGACAUCUUCUAAACAGCCAACAUACCUGAAGAAAAGUCGAAGUUGAAGCCAAGGAUGUCGCGUGCAAGUGCGUCGUACAUGCCGUAGAAUCUGGUGUUACAAGAGUCUACAUUCCCUUCUAUCACGUUGCCGAGUAUGUUCAAACCUUCCGAUGUGUAGAUGUCUACCUUCUUUCCAUAUUGGUCUAUCAGAUAGCCAGAGUCGAUGGCGUCCAUUAUACGCAACUCCAGGGCAUUGAUUUCCUGGAGAAUCGAACGUGCACUUUGAAUUUUCAUUUUACUCUUCGUACCAGACAUCACGAUCGUUAUUUUUGGAAGAUUCAACGUAUACUUUGAAUUUUCUUCUUUGUUACUUAUAUCGGCCGUUGUUGGCAUGUUUUGCCCCUGCUAAUGAUUCUUGCAAAGUAAUUAAUUUGCCUUUUAUCGACGAUGGCUUUGCGAAUUAUAUUAUUGAAAUUUUUUCAGUUUAAACUGAAGGUUGUCAGGUUUUAAGUAAGUACUAGCUGUUUUUCUUGUAAUUAACUUAGUCCUAAAGAAGCAAACUUUUAAGCUUGUUGUUAUUGAGAUAAAAUGUAAUACUCACCUUAAGAUACUUGUAUUUAUAAUAGGGUAGAGCCGAAUAUCUGUCUCUUUGUGGGAAAGGUAUGCCAUUGGGGUACAUCAUCGUGGAGAAGUAUCCAGGGUAGAUUGACUUGUUCCAGUCGAAGUCCUCUAUUUUACCAAGGUCGUUUGACAUUCGUUCAAGGAAGUACCUAGCCAAUAACUGCUGGUGGAUGAAAUAAUAAAAUUGUCCACGUAUCUCUUUAGGCAUGUUGUAUUUGCUGCUGGACAUCCAGAAGGGGAAUAUCUGUCGGAUGUAGUAGUAAUACGCGUUCAUUCCGAUAUCCUCCAUGAAGUAGUCGAGUUUAUAUUCGUCGUCCAUGUAUGGCAUCAUGUAACUGCUCGAGUAGUUGGCGGUCACUACGUAAGUUUCGAUGUUGCCCAUUCCGGCACCAGUUCCUGAAAGAAGAAGGUUGACUUUAUUUAUUUCAAAUCGAAGGAUGGGGACUUUUCCAAGACUUUCCGCUAUUAGAA